This 253-nucleotide ribosomal RNA is filed under the name uncultured bacterium. Its description in RNAcentral is "partial 16S ribosomal RNA". It matches the Rfam family "Bacterial small subunit ribosomal RNA", at positions 524 to 776 of the family's 1533-position model. The record is from RNAcentral.
UACAGAGGGUGCAAGCGUUAAUCGGAAUUAUUGGGCGUAAAGGGCGCGUAGGUGGGGGAAUAAGUCGGUGGUGGAAUCCCUGGGCUUAACCUAGGAAUUGCCACUGAUACUGUUUGUCUAGAGUGAAGUAGAGGGUAGCGGAAUUUCCGGUGUAGCGGUGAAAUGCGUAGAUAUCGGAAAGAACACCGGUGGCGAAGGCGGCUACCUGGACUUUGACUGACACUGAGGCGCGAAAGCGUGGGGAGCGAACAGG